GUAAAAUCCAAUAUGGCCACUGGAUUUGAUUUUGCCGCACUUGUGGAAAAUCCAUUUGGAAAUCUAGGAUUUAGCCUUCUCGUGCCUUUGUGAGAUCUUUUCUGAAAUGAAAAAAGAUGAAUCUAAUUGAUCUACCACCAGAAGUACUUCUUACAAUAUUCUUAUAUCUCAGAACAAAAUUUGUAUUAAACACAGUAGCAUGUGUAUGUAAAUUGUUUUAUUACAUUAUUACACCUGAAACAACAUGGAAGACAAGGUUUGGUAAAAUUUGGCCAAAGAGGGUUACAAAUAGUGAUUCAGGUUACAUUUCACCAAGGUGGAAAGAACUUUGUCACCAACAUGAAGAAUUUGAUAAACAUUGGCUUGAGCAUGAAAUGAAGUUUGAUUCAUUUACAAUUAGUCAGGAAUUUCCAAUUGACUCUGUUUUGUUGAUGAAUUCUGGCAAGACAUUGAUAACUGGUUCUAGAGAUAGAAGUAUAUGUGUGAAAGACCUUGAAAACAUCAAGAAUGUUGAGAACCCUUCUGAACUGCAAUCCACUGUCAUUAACAGACAUGAGGGUUGGAUUUGGAGGUUGAUCAGCGAUCCCAUUACACCAGGACAAUUCUGUUCAGGCUCAUGGGAUGGCUACAUCAUGCUAUGGGAUCUUCACAGGACAGAACCGAUUAGUUCCGUUUGUCUCCGCACACCACCAAUUUCAAUGACAUGGAGAAGUAAUGAUAUGAUAGUUGCUGGUUGCUACGACAAGACCGUGCGAAUCAUCGACCCACGAACGUUCUCAGUUGUUAAAAUGUUGAAGAAACAUACACGCUCUGUGCUCUGUCUGCAUGUUGACGAUGACGUCAUUAUAUCUGGUAGCGAAGAUAAAACGUUGUGUAUUUUUGAUAGAAAAGCUGGGAAACAUUUGCAAUCAUUACAGCUUCCAUCCCCGGCAUUUUCAUUGCAUUACUGGGACGAUGGUUACAGUUUAUUACGUGUUGCUGGUCGUAAAAAUAUUUAUUUUGUUGAUUCCACUGAAAACUCGUAUAAUUUGAUCAAGACAAACCCAAACACUGGACAUUCAAAAAGAGUGAAUGAUUUUGUUCAGUUUAAAGGAGGGUUGCUUACCGCGUCUGCUGAUGGAACACUGCAGGUUCAUGAACCGUCUGUAUUAUCACAGACAAGAUUUAUUCUGGAUCAAAGGAAGGCAGAAAUAACAAGAUUGUCUACCUGUUGUGACAUGUUGGCGUCUGCUUCAAGUGAUGGGAGUAUUAGAUUAUGGAAAGUAAAAUAGCGGACAAAUUUUAAUCUCUAUAGAUUUACGUCUAUAGUUUUAAAUUUGAACAACAGUUGUGUCUUAUUGAAGUACCGUUCAUAAUUUAUUGUUGCACAUAGCCGUUGACUGGUUUGACAGCGGUAGACUGGCUGAUACCUACACUUGGCCAAAGACCGUUGCUUCUGGAGAGAAACUUGAUGUUUUAUGUUACGAGAGAGAUUGGGCAAUGACGGGUUGCAGUGGUUCUGUUGAUUACCAAAUGAAUGAAAAGAUAUCAUCAUUGGUGGUUGUGGUGCCACUGGUCCUGUACUAUUGAUGUUUGAGUGCCAAUGUACUGGAGGAACCACUAACGUGGCUA
RNAcentral lists this unclassified non-coding RNA (1611 nucleotides) under Dendronephthya gigantea. RNAcentral describes it as "f-box/WD repeat-containing protein 9-like, transcript variant X2". Lineage: Eukaryota; Metazoa; Cnidaria; Anthozoa; Malacalcyonacea; Nephtheidae. The record is from RNAcentral.